RNAcentral lists this transfer RNA (68 nucleotides) under Marmota monax (woodchuck). It matches the Rfam family "tRNA". From Rfam's summary of the family: Transfer RNA (tRNA) molecules are approximately 80 nucleotides in length. Their secondary structure includes four short double-helical elements and three loops (D, anti-codon, and T loops). The record is from Rfam by way of RNAcentral. Lineage: Eukaryota; Metazoa; Chordata; Mammalia; Rodentia; Sciuridae.
GGUGGGGGCUCAGUUGGUAGAGUGCUUGCCUUGCAUGCACAAGACCCUGGGUUCAAUCCCCAGCACCA